AUAACAGGUCGCGUCUUACACAACGCGCCGGGCUGCAGCAAGUCGUGCGGAGAGGAGGGGGGGGGGACAGAAAAGUGGGAGGACCCUGCCGAGACCGCACCGCGAGCUACAACGACGCGGGGGGAUCGAAGCCGAGUGUCCACAGAGGUACCGCGGCAUCCGAGUCCGCUUCUCAGAGAGACGCUUUAAUCUUGAGUCCGGAGCCGUUUAUAAACCACCGGAACGUCUGUGAUCUGGAUCGCCGCGUCCUGAAUCCUGAAUGCUCUGCUUGUGACACCAGCGUUACUCUCAGCGCGUCCAGUCAUCGAUCAUCUGGCCCCUCGGUGCCACAGAGAUAUGGUGUCAUAACAUGAUAAUGCGGCUUCACACAUUCGGCGGGAUUCCGGCGCUAAAAAAAAAAACAGGUGGGGAUGGGGGACAAGUUUACAGGAGUAAAAAAAAAAAAAUCACCAACAAAGCCUCCCAGCAGUCCGGUCGGAGAGGCUCCCGGGGGCGGCGGGCUGAAGAGGAGCCACGAAGCCGCGCAGGACGCACGACUUUUACGCACGGAGAGAUAUUUGGAUCAAAUAAUAAUAAACUCGUUUAACUCGUCGAAUUUGUUAAUUCAAUUAUGUAUUGGUGAGUAGAAGCUCUAAUUUUCUCAUUAUUUUUUUAUUUGUUUACGGUAAAUUCAAAUAUUAAAAAGCGUAUUCUUGUAACAGAUAUUUUUCUGGAGGAAAGUUAUUUUUUGAAUUAAAAGGAGAAGCUGUGGGUGUAGUAAACAGCAUUAUGUAUCUCACGACACCACGAGGCACUCUGCGUUUUGGAGGGUCAUUGAGAGAGAAAAAGCCAAAUUAACAUGAAAGGAGACUGACCACUAAAAUAACUACACCGGCAUUAUAAAGCAAUUAAGCUCCUUCAAUUAGCGUCUGUAAAAGCAAACUGGAGCUCCACUUUCUCUCCUGGAGCUGCUCUUCCGCGAGGGUCAGCGCGUUUUCUGGCAAUCUGGGAGAGAGAGAGAGAGAGCAGGGAGGGGGGUCUAAAUACCGUCAUUUCUGUUUAAUCCGCUUUGCGAUGACGGUAAUGCUUCGAGUCGUUUCAAUAAAAUCAGCAGGUAUUACUUUCAAACGGCUGAAUGUGAAAUGACAGCAUGUUCGACUGCCGAAACAAACAGGGCGUCCUGCGCGCGCUGACUUCUGCUGUUUGGACGCAGAGACAAGUUUCAGCCUUUGUGUCAGUUUAUUAAAAAUGCAUUCCUCUAAUUUCAGGUUACUGUGUAAAAUCCUAUUUAUUUUGGGUCAGAUAAUGCUGUGAUAAAUACAGACUCAUUUGAUGAAGCCAUUUAGUUUUAACGCGUAGAGUUUUAGGUGUAAAACAAAUACGAAUGAAUAAUCUGCGUCUGUUUGAACAAACAACCAGCAGAGCCCGACGAGUCAAACCGAGGUCAAACUACUGCUUCUUUUUGCAGCCCGCAGCGCAGACGUGUCGGGAUCUGCACAAAAAAAGGCCACCGGUCGUCUCUGCUUCGUAUCAGUCGCUGCGGCACAGACAGACAGACAGACCGACCGACCGACAGACCUGCUGCAGAGCGUUCACACAGCUCAUCUGAUUAUAUGAAACUACUGGUGUAUUCUCGCCCGUCGGGAGACCCGUCCGGACUCUUCGUGGUGCGUUCAGGGUCAGCUUUCUCUUUUAAAAGUUAGUGUAAUGAGCUAUAAUGUAGCAUUCAGUAUUAAAGUCUGAUUCGUCAUCGUUUAAAAACUGAUAUUAACUAAAUUAUUGUAGUUUGUCUUAAAUUAUUGUCACAUGACUCUUUUUUUUUUAAAUAUUGGCAUUAAUAACUCGAGAGUAUAAUUACAUCACAUCCUAAAUACAAAGGCUUGAGUUUAAUGGUGUUAAAGUAUAAAAGCAAGAAUAUAAAGUGUCUCAAUAUUGAUUUGAAACCAUGAAAUCAGUUAUUUUUGGGGAUGAAGGGAAAGGCUCCCUCGCUUCUGUUGGAUCCUGCAGUUUGGACCAAAUGUUCCUCUGAGCUGCUUUUUUUAGCCUCUCACAUUAAUGCUGAACCAUUUGCGCCUUCUACCGGAGAUGUGAGGAACUACACGAGGAGCAGGACACGCAGAGGAAGAGUCCGGCUCAGAUGAUGAAGACAGGAAGCAAAAAGUUAAAAAAAUAAUUCACUAAAUGCAGAAUAUUCAGUUUGAAUCUGUAAUGAAGUCGGUUCUUAAAUUCCAUCAUGUACAAAACUAUCUAUGAUGAUAAUAAAAUACAUAAGAAGAG
This is a long non-coding RNA of Anarrhichthys ocellatus (wolf-eel), 2256 nucleotides long. RefSeq lists it as uncharacterized. The transcript is spliced from 2 exons. NCBI's taxonomy places the organism in Eukaryota, Metazoa, Chordata, Actinopteri, Perciformes, Anarhichadidae. The record is from RefSeq and is a predicted model, not a curated record.